CGACUUCACAAAGAGUUCGCUUCCGCACGUGCAGGACUCAGCAGCAAGGGCGUGGGACGCGCAGGCGCCGGGAGCCCACAGGGUGGAGACCGGAGCGAGCCCGCCCUUCUCCAGCCGCGCGGCCUUUCAUUCGCGCCCCCUAUCGGCAGGGCCAGCGGGGCCGCAGAAGCGUGGCUCGCAGGGCCCAGCCGCAUGCACCGAGCUGAGCGCGCGCUGGCCUGUGUGGAGCCCAGGCAAGAACGGAGUAAUUGAUACAGAAGAGGCUUUGCGUUUUCAGGAAUGCACUGUCCCCUUUCCAGGAGCUCUGCAAGGGAGCAGGAAUGCCAGAAAGUAGCCUGUGCAGAGGCAGGAGAAUGGGAGUCCGCCACAGACUGUCUCUUUCCCCCCCCGGCCAGAGUCUCAUCCAGCCCUGGGGAAGGAAGACACCUGGUGGCAAUCAUGCACCCCACCACCUGUCCAGAUCUUAGCUCGUGGCGUCACCCCUGAGGCUGGAACAGUCUCUGAAGAGGGACUGCACAGUUCCACGGGGAACUGUGGAGGAAAACACAGGCCUGGCCUGCCAGCAAGGGAGCAAAGGGGCAGGGGAGUCCCAGAAAACGCUCUGGUCAGUAGACGCUUGAAGAUAAAACUCCGCCAUAGAAGGGUCCUCCAUACAAACAGGUAGAGCAAAAUGGACCACAUCUGCAAUAAAACUAGGUAGCAAGUUUUAUCCACAAGCCUCAAGAUGAAAGCUAUUGGGGACAAAUUCCCUAUAGCUAAGUCCAUGUGGCACCAGCAUCUGGAAGGAGUAAGCCGAGGGAAGCAACACAAUAUCUUAUAGAUCUGAGAGCAGAAGACUCAAAGCACUCCUGGAUAAUUACUGGACAGUAGUGGGCUUAUUUGUAAACAGCAGAUGAAAUAGGGAAAACAUUUUUCAUUUCCGUUCACAUGUGAAUGCAAAGAGUUUAAAGAAGUGUUCACUCUUGGUGUGAUAUAUUCCAUGGGUUUUGACAAAGGUAUAGGCCUAUUCAGAUCAUGUAUUUGCAGAUGCACAUAAAUUCUAGAUGAAAUAGAUAAUUGUCAAGAAAAAUACAAUCUGCCAAAAUGUACCUUAGUCAAAGUCUAACAGACCAAUUAUGAUAGAAGAAAUAAAGAACAUAGUUGAAGCGCACCCUCACAAUGAAGGCAUCAAACUCAGAUGGAGUGACAGGAAUUCUACCAGUCAGAUAAAUUCCAAAACUACUUAUAAAGCUUGUGGGUAUGGAGAAAGAAGAAAAAAACCUUAUAGUUUUGUGAAGCAAGUAUUACAUCAAAACUAAAACUGACAAAUAAUUGUAGUAAAUAUAUGAUAUAAUCACUAUAUUAAUUGAAAUAUAUUACUUCAAAAAAAUUAGAUAAAAUAUUAGCAAGCAGAAUUUAACAGCACUUUAAAAAUAAUAUGUCAUUAUCAAGCUGAGUUUAUUCCAGGAAUGUAAAGGUUAUUCAAUAUUAGGUAAUUCAUUAAUACAAUCCAUCAUAUUUAUAGAGAUAAGAAGAAAAACAUUCCAAUCUCCAUAGAUACAUAAAAGUAUUUGAAAAAAAUCCUUAAAAAUGGAAAUAAAAUAUAAAUAUAUGGAUAUAUUCUUAACACGAAUACACACACAAGCAUGCAUUUGUGCAUGUACCAGCCCAAAAGUUGAAUUUUGCUUAAUGGGAAAACUAGAGACUGUGUCACUAAUGUGGGAUGCCAACCACCUCCAGUACUAUUGAAUAUUGUGUUACAGAUGCUAAUCAAAGCAAGUAGAUAAGAGAAAAAAACCAGAGGCACAAUAAUGGCAAAGCAAGAAGUAAUGCCAUUUUUCUUUGCAAGUAACAUGAUCAUAUAUCUGGAAGUUCCUCCUCAUCCAAAUCAAUGGAAAAACUGCAAAUAACAUGACAACUGAGUAAAAAUAUAUCUUAAGUCAAACAACUCAGAAACAGAAAGACAAAUACUGCAUGUUUUUACUUAUAAGUGAAACCUAAAUAAUGUAUACACAUAUACAGAGUAUAGACUGA
RNAcentral lists this long non-coding RNA (2013 nucleotides) under Homo sapiens (human). RNAcentral's name for it is "HSALNT0305792". Lineage: Eukaryota; Metazoa; Chordata; Mammalia; Primates; Hominidae. The record is from RNAcentral.